UUCUGCCCUCCCCGAAGGCGGAGGGUAAUGAGAGGGAGCGCGCAUUCUCUUCCCGCCCGGCCAGAGGUGGGGGCGGGACUUUCCCUGGGACACGCGGGCGUGGGGCGGAGCCAGGUGGUCUACAGGCAGGGAGGACUGGGCAGGGGCCGUCGCAUCCUCUCGCGAGCUUGCUGUGGCUGGGCCUGCGCAGUCUACCACCACUCGCUGACUCCACUUCUCCCGGAAGUGCCCCCUCGUUCCCCUGCCCGGCAAACGGUUCUGGUUUUGUCCUUUGAACCGGGAGUGUUUCUAAAGUAGAACGAGAGGUUUGCAGUGAAACCUGGUUUCUAACUGACUGUGUAUCUGUGACCUUGGGCUCGUUACGUGCCCCGUCUGAGCCUUGUUUUUCUCUGUAAAAGGGGGACGGUAAUUCCAAUCUUCCAGGGUUGUCUUGAGAAUGAAAUGAAGACAGAUUAUAUUUUGAAAGGAAAUAUAUUAACCGGUUCAAAUGAUACACAGUGAAGUCUUCCCGUCUCCUAGUUUCCCUCCCUAGAGCAAAACUGCCUUAUGGCCAAUUGUCAUGCAGUGAAAUGUUUAUGGUGGAAAUGCUUGCAGCAGCGAUGCUCACUGUGAAACUCCCCUGGCGAUGGGCUCAUGGAUGGGCAGGGCCCAGGCUGGGCUGGUCAAAGCACUUCUGGGUGAUGGACACGGUUGUUAGAUGGACUGUGGAGGUCACAUUCAUUUGUUUGUUCUCAGGAUCAUGUAAACCUUAGGCUGCUGGUAGCUAUUUAUGAAAGGUAUAUAUCAGAGUGGGUUUGAAUUUUAGCUCCACCACUUACUGGCUGGGCGAUCCUGGGCAGGCUGCUUAAUCCUUUACAUUUGUCUCAUCAGCAAAAUAGGAAUAAUGGUAUCUGCCUUUAUUGUUAUAGAAAUACUUGAGUUAAUAUAUAUAAAGUGCUCAGAGCAAUGCCUAGUGCAAAGGGAGCGGACAAAAAAUACUUGUUGCUAUUAUUAUUAUCACUAUGUGGGGAGAUUCCAUCUGAGAACUAGUGAGAAAAAGAGAAAGAGCUCUGUAGCAUUGGGCCUCCUAGAUUCAGCCAUGCCUGAAGUUUUCUAUCUCUUGCACUUCCCAGUUCCACAAACCAAUUAACUUCUUCUUUUGUAAAGCAAAUUUGAGUUGACUCUCUGUAAGUUACAACCCAAGGAGCCCUAACACUGGAGGGUAGCGGGAAAACCAGGAGACAGAGUUUGGUAGGCUCUUUCUCAUUCUGCUGUUUAAGUUUGGACAAGGGCUUCUUCUCAAGCUUCAGUUCCUCAUAUG
Non-coding RNA from Manis javanica (Malayan pangolin), 1300 nucleotides. Lineage: Eukaryota; Metazoa; Chordata; Mammalia; Pholidota; Manidae. The record is from RefSeq and is a predicted model, not a curated record.